This 489-nucleotide ribosomal RNA is filed under the name uncultured bacterium. RNAcentral describes it as "SSU rRNA". It matches the Rfam family "Bacterial small subunit ribosomal RNA", at positions 26 to 521 of the family's 1533-position model. The record is from RNAcentral.
AGGAUGAACGCUAGCGGCAGGCCUAAUACAUGCAAGUCGAACGGUGGUAGCAAUACCAUAGUGGCGCACGGGUGCGUAACACGUAACUAACCUACCCAGAACUGGGGAAUAGCCCGCCGAAAGGCGGAUUAAAUACCGCAUAAGACAACAGAGUGGCAUCACUUAGUUGUUAAAGAUUUAUUGGUUUUGGAUGGGGUUGCGGGUCAUUAGCUAGUUGGUAAGGUAACGGCUUACCAAGGCGACGAUGACUAGGGGAGCUGAGAGGCUGGUCCCCCACACGGGCACUGAGAUACGGGCCCGACUCCUACGGGAGGCAGCAGUAGGGAAUAUUGGGCAAUGGGCGAGAGCCUGACCCAGCCAUGCCGCGUGCAGGAAGAAGGCUUUCUGAGUCGUAAACUGCUUUUGAUAGGGAAGAAUAAGCUUCACGUGUGGAGUGAUGACGGUACCUACAGAAUAAGCACCGGCUAACUCCGUGCCAGCAGCCGCGAU